AAACAAUAAAAUAAAGUUUAAAUUUUGUGAUAAAGGAAAAAAAAGAGUUAAUUUCAUACAGGUCACUAUAAAUAUAGUAAAUUGUAAAUAUAUCCCCACAAAGUUGAACUUUUAUAUAUUGUUUCUACAAAAGUCAUGAUGUUUUCAAAUAUGUUUAUGUCGUUACGUUCCGUUAGAAAAAAAAAUUAAUUAAUCAUAAAUAAAAUACUUAAUCCUAGUUAGUUGAUGAAGUGAAUUGACCAUUUUACCCAUCUUUAAUUAAUUGUUCAAACUUUUGGAGGAACAUGCUUGUGAUGACAAAAAGAUCAUUUCACUUAUAAAAUAAACAGCAUUUUAACGAUAACAAGUCAGAGGAAUAUAUUUGAAAAUAUUAGGACUUAUGCAAGAGCAAUAUAUAAAAGUUGAAUUCUAUAGAAAUGUAUUUGUAAUUUAUUAUGUUUGUAUGGACCUGAAAAUAAUCCAAAAAAUUAAUAAUGAAUA
RNAcentral lists this long non-coding RNA (480 nucleotides) under Ananas comosus (pineapple). Its description in RNAcentral is "long non-coding RNA (ACOM_LNC024392)". Lineage: Eukaryota; Viridiplantae; Streptophyta; Magnoliopsida; Poales; Bromeliaceae. The record is from RNAcentral.